CGUCUGGGCGUAAAGCGUGCGUAGGCGGCGUGUCAAGUCAGGCGUGAAAGCCCUCGGCUCAACCGAGGAAUUGCGUUUGAAACUGGCAUGCUAGAGUCUCGGAGAGGUUGGCGGAAUUCCAGGUGUAGGAGUGAAAUCCGUAGAUAUCUGGAGGAACACCGGUGGCGAAGGCGGCCAACUGGACGAGUACUGACGCUGAGGUACGAAAGCGUGGGUAGCAAACAGGAUUAGAUACCCUGGUAGUCCACGCUGUAAACGAUGGAUAUUAGGUGUCGGGGUUUUACUUCGGUGCCGCAGUUAACGCGUUAAAUAUCCCGCCUGGGGAGUACGGUCGCCAGGCUGAAACUCAAAGGAAUUGACGG
This 362-nucleotide ribosomal RNA is filed under the name uncultured bacterium. RNAcentral's name for it is "bacterial SSU rRNA". It matches the Rfam family "Bacterial small subunit ribosomal RNA", at positions 547 to 916 of the family's 1533-position model. The record is from RNAcentral.